UCUUUCCCAGAGUUAUUACAGAUAUGACUGCUAUGUCACAUGUGUGUCUUUAGCUGACAGAAGAGAGAGGCCUGUGAGCAUUUGGAUGAUUAAUAGUUUGACACU
Erinaceus europaeus (western European hedgehog) is the source of this 105-nucleotide small nucleolar RNA. The record is from Ensembl. NCBI's taxonomy places the organism in Eukaryota, Metazoa, Chordata, Mammalia, Eulipotyphla, Erinaceidae.